UACGUAGGGGGCAAGCGUUAUCCGGAUUUACUGGGUGUAAAGGGAGCGUAGACGGCUUUGCAAGCCAGAUGUGAAAGCCCGGGGCUCAACCCCGGGACUGCAUUUGGAACUGUGUGGCUGGAGUGUCGGAGAGGCAGGCGGAAUUCCUAGUGUAGCGGUGAAAUGCGUAGAUAUUAGGAGGAACACCAGUGGCGAAGGCGGCCUGCUGGACGAUGACUGACGUUGAGGCUCGAAAGCGUGGGGAGCAAACAGG
RNAcentral lists this ribosomal RNA (253 nucleotides) under uncultured bacterium. Its description in RNAcentral is "partial 16S ribosomal RNA". It matches the Rfam family "Bacterial small subunit ribosomal RNA", at positions 524 to 776 of the family's 1533-position model. The record is from RNAcentral.